UGGGAAUUUUGGACAAUGGGCGAAAGCCUGAUCCAGCAAUGCCGCGUGUGUGAAGAAGGCCUUCGGGUUGUAAAGCACUUUUGUCCGGAAAGAAAUCCUUGGCUCUAAUACAGUCGGGGGAUGACGGUACCGGAAGAAUAAGCACCGGCUAACUACGUGCCAGCAGCCGCGGUAAUACGUAGGGUGCAAGCGUUAAUCGGAAUUACUGGGCGUAAAGCGUGCGCAGGCGGUUUGCUAAGACCGAUGUGAAAUCCCCGGGCCGUCACCUGGGAACUGGCAUUGGUGACUGGCAGGCUAGAGUAUGGCAGAGGGGGUGAGAAUUCCACGUGUAGCAGUGAAAAUGCGUAGAGAUGUGGAGGAAUACCGAUGGCGAAGGCAGCCCUCGGCAAGUCAACUGACGCUCAUGCACGAAAGCGUGGGGGAGCAAAACAGGAUUAGAUACCCC
This 445-nucleotide ribosomal RNA is filed under the name uncultured bacterium. RNAcentral's name for it is "partial 16S ribosomal RNA". It matches the Rfam family "Bacterial small subunit ribosomal RNA", at positions 356 to 788 of the family's 1533-position model. The record is from RNAcentral.